GGAUCGGCUCACUACUGCUGCUCCCAACUGCACGCAAGGCUUCAGUACUAGCAUUUUGUGGAGAUUAUAUGAUACAGUUAUAUUUUGGUAUAUGUGCAUUUGUUGAGAUCGUCAAAGCUGAAACUAUGAAGAGAAGCACACAUCACUAUAUGGCUGACCUCAUGUGUACAAGAUGACUUCAGCAAGUUAAAGUGAUCAGACUUCUUUUCAAAGACUACUAGAUUUCCCAGGAAGAAAUGAUAAUUUGAUUAUACUCAAAGGGAGGGGAACAAGCAACCCUCAGGCUGCUGAAGUACAGCUUUCUUUAGGUACCUUCCAUCAUGCUGAGUCAAGUACAUGCACCCCAGCCCUCUGGAGAUCCUGCACCAAAUCACUUUUGCCUAGACGACUCUCUGCUCUGCAGCAGGUGGGAUAACAAGCAUGGAGGACUUACAAAGAUGUGGGGUUGAGACCCACAGCUGCAGGUAGAGCUGUACCUAGAUGACAAGCAACAUCACUUCCUUCUUUCUGUUGUACUAAUGUAUGGAGCAGAUGCAGUGUUCUUGUUCUGAUCUGUGAUGAAGUAACAUCCCAGCCCUGAUUCACUGCCAUUUGUAGUAAGAUAAAAGGUGGGGCUGUUACACUGCAUACAGUACAACUGGAUCUCACAAUCAGAUUAACAGCAGCAGAUACAUGUGUUUGGCCAUAAACUUCUAUUACAGUCCUUCCUCUCUCUUUCCCCUAGACUGGCUGUGUAUUUUUUUGCCUCCUGAAGUCUGUGUUGAAUUAAAAAAAAAUGCAGAAUGGCCUGGAGGUGGCAGCAGCCAGUGAGUUGAACAAUGAGCUCUGUUUUGGUCACAAUCAAGUAACUGUUGGGGGCAGGGCAAUGCAGAGCAUGUAACAAAAAUGAGUUGCAUGUUUGCUGGAAAUUUUUGCUUGCAAAUAAUGUUAGGUAUUUUUGAGGAGCUUGCAAGAACACUGUUAAUCUUACAUAACUCUGGGGGGCUGCAUGAGGGCUAUCUCACUCUAUACUCUGCUGAAAAUCCUAGGAAAGUUUAAUGGACAGUAGUGUUUCUGUUGUUUACUGUCAGAAGGGCACUAUGUUGUUUUGAGUUGUUUGAAAGGACUUAUAACAGGAAUUGCUGUUUCUGUUUGUCUGGAAAAGUUGUCACAUUCUUUUAGCUAGCCAAAGAAUCAAUCCUAAAAAUGAACUUGAAUAAUUCAGGACUUCCCCCCCCCCCCCCUCCCCCCCCCCCCUCUGCUGGCUGCAUUUUGCUUGCCUAAAGGAAAUUUUCCCCUCUGUUUUAGACGUCAUGAAACAUACGUAUGCACUGAAUAGAUCUCAUUUACAGGACCAGCAAAACAAACUGUAUUUGAAGAAAUUUGAUUCACUGUGGAGUCAAAAGUUCUGUAGAGUCAGGAAAGAGCCACUGCUGGAGCUUCACCAUGGCAAAUGUGUCAUAACUUAUAGAAUGGCAGAGAUUUUGCUUUCAUUGUUGUAAACAUAACUGGCUGUGAAAAUGAAAAUAUUGGCUCAAUAUGAAAAUAAAGACAGUUUUUUCACUUUUC
Long non-coding RNA from Gallus gallus (chicken), 1548 nucleotides. RefSeq lists it as uncharacterized. NCBI's taxonomy places the organism in Eukaryota, Metazoa, Chordata, Aves, Galliformes, Phasianidae. The transcript has 3 exons. The record is from RefSeq and is a predicted model, not a curated record.